GCCUACGGGGGGCAGCAGUGGGGAAUAUUGGGCAAUGGGCGCAAGCCUGACCCAGCAACGCCGCGUGAAGGAAGAAGGCUUUCGGGUUGUAAACUUCUUUUAUGAGGGACGAAAGAAAUGACGGUACCUCAUGAAUAAGCCACGGCUAACUACGUGCCAGCAGCCGCGGUAAUACGUAGGUGGCAAGCGUUAUCCGGAUUUACUGGGUGUAAAGGGCGUGUAGGCGGGAAAGCAAGUCAGAUGUGAAAACCACGGGCUCAACCUGUGGCCUGCAUUUGAAACUGUUUUUCUUGAGUACUGGAGAG
This 305-nucleotide ribosomal RNA is filed under the name uncultured bacterium. RNAcentral's name for it is "bacterial SSU rRNA". It matches the Rfam family "Bacterial small subunit ribosomal RNA", at positions 337 to 656 of the family's 1533-position model. The record is from RNAcentral.